This 44-nucleotide ribosomal RNA is filed under the name Centrocestus sp. RD-2003. RNAcentral describes it as "partial 28S ribosomal RNA". Lineage: Eukaryota; Metazoa; Platyhelminthes; Trematoda; Opisthorchiida; Heterophyidae. RNAcentral also lists the same sequence under 2 other names. The record is from RNAcentral.
CCUGACCUCGGAUCAGACGUGAAUACCCGCUGAACUUAAGCAUA